Molecule: unclassified non-coding RNA, 348 nt
Filed under: soil metagenome
Description: partial contains 5.8S ribosomal RNA, internal transcribed spacer 2, and large subunit ribosomal RNA
Rfam family: 5.8S ribosomal RNA (bases 1-120)
Source: RNAcentral
GAUGAAGAACGCAGCGAAAUGCGAUACGUAAUGUGAAUUGCAGAUUUCAGUGAAUCAUCGAAUCUUUGAACGCACAUUGCGCCCGCCAGUAUUCUGGCGGGCAUGCCUGUCUGAGCGUCAUUUCAACCCUCAUGCCCCUAGGGCGUGGUGUUGGGGAUCGGCCAAAGCCCGCGAGGGACGGCCGGCCCCUAAAUCUAGUGGCGGACCCGUCGUGGCCUCCUCUGCGAAGUAGUGAUAUUCCGCAUCGGAGAGCGAUGAGCCCCUGCCGUUAAACCCCCAACUUUCCAAGGUUGACCUCAGAUCAGGUAGGAAUACCCGCUGAACUUAAGCAUAUCAAUAAGCGGAGGA